This 163-nucleotide small nuclear RNA is filed under the name Ursus americanus (American black bear). RNAcentral describes it as "U1 spliceosomal RNA (ENSUAMG00000016107.1)". It matches the Rfam family "U1 spliceosomal RNA". Rfam says of the family: U1 is a small nuclear RNA (snRNA) component of the spliceosome (involved in pre-mRNA splicing). Its 5' end forms complementary base pairs with the 5' splice junction, thus defining the 5' donor site of an intron. Lineage: Eukaryota; Metazoa; Chordata; Mammalia; Carnivora; Ursidae. The record is from RNAcentral.
CAUCUUACCUGGCCCAAGAAAUACCAUGAUCAAGCAUUUAGUUUUCCCAGGCUGAGGCUCACCCAUUGUACUGCAGGUGUGCUGACUCCUAUAACUUUCCCAAAAUGGCAGAAGCUCGCGGUCAUAAUUUGUGACAGUGGGCAACUCAUCGCGCUCUCCCUGG